RNAcentral lists this ribosomal RNA (253 nucleotides) under uncultured bacterium. RNAcentral describes it as "partial 16S ribosomal RNA". It matches the Rfam family "Bacterial small subunit ribosomal RNA", at positions 524 to 776 of the family's 1533-position model. The record is from RNAcentral.
UACGAAGGGUGCAAGCGUUACUCGGAAUUACUGGGCGUAAAGCGCGCGCAGGCGGCUAUCCAAGUCAGUGGUGAAAGCCCGGAGCUCAACUCCGGAACUGCCAUUGAAACUGUUUAGCUUGAGGACGAGAGAGGUGAGUGGAAUUCCCAGUGUAGAGGUGAAAGUCGUAGAUAUUGGGAAGAACACCAGUGGCGAAGGCGGCUCACUGGCGCGUUUCUGACGCUCAGGCGCGAUAGCGUGGGGAUCAAACAGG